This 239-nucleotide long non-coding RNA is filed under the name Elaeis guineensis (African oil palm). RNAcentral describes it as "long non-coding RNA (EGUI_LNC035252)". The record is from RNAcentral. Lineage: Eukaryota; Viridiplantae; Streptophyta; Magnoliopsida; Arecales; Arecaceae.
GGGUCAUAUUCAGAGGUCGCAGCUUCUUUGGAGCUCCCAUCUUCCGACAUUUGGUCGGCUGUCGGGCAUUCCGCAAUGAAGUCGGCCAAGACUUGGGCUUUCAAAGUAGGUCGCAGUUAGUACUGGAUGUCGAACUCGCUCAGCUUCACCGCCCAUUUCACCAGUCAUCCUGAUGUGUCGAGGUGAUGGAGGAUCGCUCUCAGGGGCUGGUCGAUGAGGACCAUGAUGGCGUGUGCUUG